RNAcentral lists this ribosomal RNA (253 nucleotides) under uncultured bacterium. RNAcentral's name for it is "partial 16S ribosomal RNA". It matches the Rfam family "Bacterial small subunit ribosomal RNA", at positions 524 to 776 of the family's 1533-position model. The record is from RNAcentral.
UACGGGGGGGGCAAGCGUUGUUCGGAAUUACUGGGCGUAAAGGGCUCGUAGGCGGCCAACUAAGUCAGACGUGAAAUCCCCAGGCUCAACCUGGGAACUGCGUCUGAUACUGGUUGGCUUGAAUCCGGGAGAGGGAUGCAGAAUUCCAGGUGUAGCGGUGAAAUGCGUAGAUAUCUGGAGGAAUACCGGUGGCGAAGGCGGCAUCCUGGACCGGCAUUGACGCUGAGGAGCGAAAGCCAGGGGAGCAAACGGG